Molecule: ribosomal RNA, 496 nt
Filed under: uncultured bacterium
Lineage: Bacteria
Description: partial 16S ribosomal RNA
Rfam family: Bacterial small subunit ribosomal RNA
Source: RNAcentral
GACGAACGCUGGCGGCGUGCCUAACACAUGCAAGUCGAGCGAUGAAAUUAGAAACGGAGUCUUCGGACGAAGUGGAAAAUGGAUUAGCGGCGGACGGGUGAGUAACACGUGAGCAACCUGCCUAUCACAUCGGGAUAGCCUCGGGAAACUGGGAUUAAUACCGAAUGAAACAUAAUCACUGCCUAGUGGAAAUGUCAAAGAUUUAUCGGUGAUAGAUGGGCUCGCGUAUGAUUAGCUAGUUGGUGAGGUAAUGGAUCACCAAGGCGACGAUCAGUAGCCGGCCUGAGAGGGUGAACGGCCACAUUGUGACUGAGACACGCCUCAAACUCCUACGGGAGGCAGCAGUGGGGAAUAUUUCACAAUGGAGGGAACUCUGAUGCAGCGACGCCGCGUGAGCGAUGAAGGCUUUCGAGUCGUAAAGCUCUGUCGAAUGGGAAGAUAAUGACGGUACCAUUUGAGAAAGCCCCGGCUAACUACGUGCCAGCAGCCGCAGUAA